Molecule: ribosomal RNA, 797 nt
Filed under: uncultured bacterium
Lineage: Bacteria
Description: bacterial SSU rRNA
Rfam family: Bacterial small subunit ribosomal RNA
Source: RNAcentral
AGAGUUUGAUCCUGGCUCAGAACGAACGCUGGCGGCGUGUCUUAAGCAUGCAAGUCGAGCGGCAAGGGGUAGCAAUACCCCCUAGAGCGGCGGACUGGUGAGUAACGCGUGGGUGAUCUGCCCUUGGGAUGGGGAUAGCCAUUAGAAAUAGUGGGUAAUACCGAAUACGUUCGUCAUGCCGAGGCAUGGCGAGGAAAAGCGCUACGGCGCUGCCCGAGGAUGAGCCCGCGUCCCAUUAGCUAGUUGGUGAGGUAACGGCCCACCAAGGCGAUGAUGGGUAGCCGGCCUGAGAGGGUGUACGGCCACACUGGGACUGAGAUACGGCCCAGACUCCUACGGGAGGCAGCAGCUAAGAAUAUUCCGCAAUGGACGAAAGUCUGACGGAGCGACGCCGCGUGAACGAUGAAGGCCGAAAGGUUGUAAAGUUCUUUUGUUGGGGAAGAAUAAGGCUGGGAGGGAAUGCCCGGCUGAUGACAUGAACCGACGAAUAAGCCCCGGCUAACUACGUGCCAGCAGCCGCGGUAACACGUAGGGGGCGAGCGUUGUUCGGAAUUACUGGGCGUAAAGGGCAUGUAGGCGGCCUUGUAAGCCUGGCGUGAAAGUCACCGGCUCAACCGGUGGAUUGCGUCGGGAACUGCGAGGCUUGAGUCACGGAGGGGGAGCUAGAAUUCCUGGUGUAGGGGUGAAAUCUGUAGAGAUCAGGAAGAAUACCAGUGGCGAANGCGAGCUCCUGGCCGAUGACUGACGCUGAGGUGCGAAAGUGUGGGGAUCAAACAGGAUUAGAUACCCUGGUAGUC